UGAGGAAUAUUGGGCAAUGCCCGCAAGGGUGACCCAGCAACGCCGCGUGGAGGAUGAAUGUCGUAAGAUUGUAAACUCCUGUUAGAGGGGAAGAAUAGUACCGGUUGGACCGGUAUAUGACUGUACCCUCAGAGAAAGCCCCGGCUAACUACGUGCCAGCAGCCGCGGUAAUACGUAGGGGGCAAGCGUUGUCCGGAUUUACUGGGUGUAAAGGGCGCGCAGGCGGGAUAAAAAGUCAGUGGUGAAAUCCUACAGCUUAACUGUAGAACUGCCUUUGAUACUUUUAUGAUUGAGUUCGGGAGAGAGAGACGGAAUUCCAGUUGUAGUGGUGAAAUACGUAGAUAUCUGGAAGUACACCAGUUGCGAAGGCGGUCUCUUGGUCCGACACUGACGCUGAGGCGCGAAAGCGUGGGGAGCAAACA
Molecule: ribosomal RNA, 422 nt
Filed under: uncultured bacterium
Lineage: Bacteria
Description: bacterial SSU rRNA
Rfam family: Bacterial small subunit ribosomal RNA
Source: RNAcentral